AUGAAUUUGAUGCACAACAAUGGAGGAAGAAUUCAAGAUUUUGGUUUGAAGAAUGUGCAUGGAGGAUGGUCUGUUUGGUCUUCAUUUGGUGCGUGCGAAGGAAUGUGUGGUAGAAUAGGAAAGCGUACCCGCAGAAGACAAUGCAAUAAUCCUCCCCCUUCCAAUGGUGGUCUUGAUUGUAUUGGCCAUGAUACUGAAUUCAUGGAAUGUGAAUUACCAGGCUGCACGAUGUCUCAGUUCAAAGAGCUUGUUCAAAAUGACCCCAUUAAAUUGGAGCAGUAUACUUAUUUGGAUGCAAUUCAUUGCAAAUAUCCAUCAUUGGUUGAGCGCUGCAUUAAAGCUACCUGUCAUUUUGAAACCAUCCAGUCUGUCCUGGUUGACGAGGCUAAUUCCUAUUGGAACGCAUUGCACUGUAUUAAACAUGGCUUUGGUUGCCCUGGUAAGUUAUUUUUUCUUCCUAACUUUUAGCCUUGCAAAUGCUAUGCGUGUAACCAAUCUAAUGGGCUAACAGUGGUUUCGAUAGGUACUUCCCUAACGGGCUUUACGAAAUGAUAAUUUUUGUUAAAUUAAUGCUUAUUUUGAUCUCUGUUAUAAAAAGAAAAGAAAAGUGCGGUAGAUUUAUUGG
This 625-nucleotide long non-coding RNA is filed under the name Bemisia tabaci. RNAcentral's name for it is "lncRNA ENSSWEETPG008819". Lineage: Eukaryota; Metazoa; Arthropoda; Insecta; Hemiptera; Aleyrodidae. The record is from RNAcentral.